This is a non-coding RNA of Vicia faba (fava bean), 438 nucleotides long. NCBI's taxonomy places the organism in Eukaryota, Viridiplantae, Streptophyta, Magnoliopsida, Fabales, Fabaceae. The record is from the annotation of a GenBank genome assembly.
AAGGAAGAAGUUUUGUUGCCGUUAGUGAUAAGCACGCCUGGCAUUUUCAUCAUUCUUCCCUCUCUUUCUCUCUCACUUCAACUUUUUUCCUCUAUUCUAUUCUAUUCCCUUAAUAUUCCUUUUUUUUCUUCUCUCUCUAAAAUUCUUCUUUCUUCUUCAGUCACCACUUUCUUUUUCUCUCUCACUUUUCUCUCUCUUCUUUUUCCUUCCAUUUUCCGCACCUUCGAUUUUCGGCAAUUCUCGCUUCUCUGUUUGGAUCUGCCACUUGCUACACCUACUCACUUCGAUUCCUCAACUUUAAUAUAUAGUUUGAAGUUUCGAUUUCAGUUUUUCUUUUUCAACUCGAGGUUGUGUAGUACUCGCGUUGUUCUUCGUUUCUCGAUUUUUCCUCGAAUUUUCUGGUUUUGUUUUUCGGUGCUGAUUCCGAUAAAGGUAUAA